This 433-nucleotide ribosomal RNA is filed under the name uncultured bacterium. RNAcentral's name for it is "partial 16S ribosomal RNA". It matches the Rfam family "Bacterial small subunit ribosomal RNA", at positions 29 to 507 of the family's 1533-position model. The record is from RNAcentral.
AACGAACGCUGGCGGCAUGCCUAACACAUGCAAGUCGAACGAGACCUUCGGGUCUAUUCGCGCACGGGUUCGUAACGCGUGGGAACCUUCCCUUAGGUUCGGAAUAACUCUCCGACAGGGGUGCUAAUACCGGAUAAUGUCUUCUGACCAAUGAUUUAUCGCCCUUGGAUGGGCCCGCGUUGGAUUAGCUCUUUGUUAGGGUAAUAGCCUAACAAGGCGACGAUCCGUAGCUGGUUAGAGAGACUGAUCAGCCACACUGGGACUGAGACACGGCCCAGACUCCUACGGGAGGCAGGAGUGGGGAAUAUUGGAAAAUGGGCGAAAUGAUGAACCAGCUAGGCCGGGUGAGUGAUGAAGGCCGUAGGGUUGUAAAGCGCUUUUACCCGGGAUGGUAAUGACAGUACCGGGAGAAUAAGCUCCGGCUAACUACGUG